RNAcentral lists this ribosomal RNA (326 nucleotides) under uncultured Planctomycetota bacterium. Its description in RNAcentral is "bacterial SSU rRNA". It matches the Rfam family "Bacterial small subunit ribosomal RNA", at positions 29 to 351 of the family's 1533-position model. Lineage: Bacteria; Pseudomonadati; Planctomycetota. The record is from RNAcentral.
AACGAACGUUGGCGGCGUGGAUUAGGCAUGCAAGUCGAACGAAUGCCAUUUGGGUAACUGAGUGGCGGAAGUGGCGAAAGGGGCAGUAAUGCAUGGGUAACCUACCCUGGGGACCGGGAUAGCCUUCCUAACGGAUGGGUAAUACCGGGCGAUGUGGCCGAGGGGCAUCCCUUGACCAUGAGAUGAAUCUCGCCUCGGGAGGGGCUCAUGUCGUAUUAGCUAGUUGGUGGGGUAACGGCCCACCAAGGCGAAGAUGCGUAGCGGGUGUGAGAGCACGACCCGCGCCACUGGCACUGAGACACUGGCCAGACUCCUACGGGAGGCUG